CCUUAUGGGCUGUUUGUCAAAUUUAACCGUGCACGGGAGAGGUUUUGUGAAAUUUUCCUUUACUGUUGCUGUUGAGCCUUGAGAGAAAAUAAAGCGACCACUCAUUUCAGGAGAUGUGGGUAAAUCAGACAUCCUAACCACAGAAUAACCUGCACCAGAGUCGACCAUGAAAUUGAGUUUGUGACCUUUAACACACAGUUCGCGAGUUGAGGCAUUUUCUUGAAAGCAUAAUUUAUUUAACAUUGUGUGUGUGUGUGUUUCACUUCCCUUUUUCUGCACCUCGCCCACGGCCACGUCCUGUCCGCGCCCCUCUCUUCCUGGUACAGUGAAGUGUGUGUGUCUGUGUGUGUGUCGUGUCUGUGUCUGUGUGUGUGCUCCUGUACAGAUAUCUUUGUGAGGACCAGUUGGAGACAUUUUGACCCUCAAGUAAGACAAAGUGACAUAUUUUCCAGAUGAGAGAGAACAAGAGAGAACCUGUUGUUCCAGUGCAUCAAAUGCUUUCGGUUGUGCUUGUCUAGUAUAAAGAGCAGAGCGGACACGAGCAGCCUCACACUCUCCUGUUACACCAUGUCAGGUUCUGAGGCACAGGGGAGUCAAGGAAGACGAGGAGAAGUCGGACCAUGUCUGCAAUGAACACGGAAGAAGGAGCGCUUGCAGAUCACUGCAGUGAACGGGACUGAGCCACAGAGCACAGAGGAGAUCACUGACAAGAAGUGAAGAAACUUCAAAUAAUAUCUCAGAGUGGAGUGAGGAUCCACUGAUGUGAGGGAAUCGGUCCGAUGCUCUAGAUCAGUGGUCGCCAACCCGUCGAUCGCGAUCUACUGGUCGAUCUCCCAACUCUCUGGACUCACUGGCUGUCGUCGCGCCGCAGACCA
Long non-coding RNA from Hippoglossus stenolepis (Pacific halibut), 875 nucleotides. RefSeq lists it as uncharacterized. The record is from RefSeq and is a predicted model, not a curated record. The transcript is spliced from 3 exons. Lineage: Eukaryota; Metazoa; Chordata; Actinopteri; Pleuronectiformes; Pleuronectidae.